This 456-nucleotide ribosomal RNA is filed under the name Salmonella enterica. Its description in RNAcentral is "bacterial SSU rRNA". It matches the Rfam family "Bacterial small subunit ribosomal RNA", at positions 1 to 453 of the family's 1533-position model. Lineage: Bacteria; Pseudomonadati; Pseudomonadota; Gammaproteobacteria; Enterobacterales; Enterobacteriaceae. The record is from RNAcentral.
AAAUUGAAGAGUUUGAUCAUGGCUCAGAUUGAACGCUGGCGGCAGGCCUAACACAUGCAAGUCGAACGGUAACAGAAAGCAGCUUGCUGCUUUGCUGACGAGUGGCGGACGGGUGAGUAAUGUCUGGGAAACUGCCUGAUGGAGGGGGAUAACUACUGGAAACGGUGGCUAAUACCGCAUAACGUCGCAAGACCAAAGAGGGGGACCUUCGGGCCUCUUGCCAUCAGAUGUGCCCAGAUGGGAUUAGCUUGUUGGUGAGGUAACGGCUCACCAAGGCGACGAUCCCUAGCUGGUCUGAGAGGAUGACCAGCCACACUGGAACUGAGACACGGUCCAGACUCCUACGGGAGGCAGCAGUGGGGAAUAUUGCACAAUGGGCGCAAGCCUGAUGCAGCCAUGCCGCGUGUAUGAAGAAGGCCUUCGGGUUGUAAAGUACUUUCAGCGGGGAGGAAGGUG